Molecule: ribosomal RNA, 829 nt
Filed under: Penicillium aurantiogriseum
Lineage: Eukaryota; Fungi; Ascomycota; Eurotiomycetes; Eurotiales; Aspergillaceae
Description: eukaryotic LSU rRNA
Rfam family: Eukaryotic large subunit ribosomal RNA
Source: RNAcentral
AGGGAUUGCCCCAGUAACGGCGAGUGAAGCGGCAAGAGCUCAAAUUUGAAAGCUGGCUCCUUCGGGGUCCGCAUUGUAAUUUGCAGAGGAUGCUUCGGGAGCGGUCCCCAUCUAAGUGCCCUGGAACGGGACGUCAUAGAGGGUGAGAAUCCCGUAUGGGAUGGGGUGUCCGCGCCCGUGUGAAGCUCCUUCGACGAGUCGAGUUGUUUGGGAAUGCAGCUCUAAAUGGGUGGUAAAUUUCAUCUAAAGCUAAAUAUUGGCCGGAGACCGAUAGCGCACAAGUAGAGUGAUCGAAAGAUGAAAAGCACUUUGAAAAGAGAGUUAAAAAGCACGUGAAAUUGUUGAAAGGGAAGCGCUUGCGACCAGACUCGCUCGCGGGGUUCAGCCGGCAUUCGUGCCGGUGUACUUCCCCGCGGGCGGGCCAGCGUCGGUUUGGGCGGUCGGUCAAAGGCCCUCGGAAGGUAACGCCCCUAGGGGCGUCUUAUAGCCGAGGGUGCAAUGCGACCUGCCUAGACCGAGGAACGCGCUUCGGCUCGGACGCUGGCAUAAUGGUCGUAAGCGACCCGUCUUGAAACACGGACCAAGGAGUCUAACAUCUACGCGAGUGUUCGGGUGUCAAACCCGUGCGCGAAGUGAAAGCGAACGGAGGUGGGACCCUUACGGGUGCACCAUCGACCGAUCCUGAAGUCUUCGGAUGGAUUUGAGUAAGAGCGUAGCUGUUGGGACCCGAAAGAUGGUGAACUAUGCCUGAAUAGGGCGAAGCCAGAGGAAACUCUGGUGGAGGCUCGUAGCGGUUCUGACGUGCAAAUCGAUCGUCGAAUUGGGUAUA